UCUAGUAUUUCAGCAGUUAGGAUGGAUUACAGAUUCAUUGAAUUUUGUUUUGAGUGAGAACUUGUUUUAUGAUUUGGAUUUCUCAAACUAUAAACUGUAAACCACUCCUGUGAUCUUCCUCGUUAGGUUACUAAUUGAUCCAUUUUCAAUGCAGCUAGCAUAUCUGCCUGAUAAAAAACGGGAAUAUGUGAUUGAUGAUGAUGCUCUAAGUCAUGCUUCCGAGCUUUCAGUGGAAGGAAGAGAUGAUAUAACUAAUCUUGAUGAGUUGGUCAAGGAUUACAAAAGAAACAGAAGACGUGGAAUGCUCGGAUGGUUUAAACUGAAAGGUCUUAGUUACUCUCCAGAGAUGUAGCAAAAAGUAACUAAAACAUUUUCUGGAGCAUGGAGAAUGAGAGUAGCUCUUGCCUGUGCCCUUUUCAUUUCACAAUAUAAUGGACUGGCAUUCCUUUGAUUCCAAAGUUGGAGAUAGGCUACACACAUCAAUGGAUGUCAGUUAGUGAAUCCAGCGCUCAAGAGUUGGAGAGUUCCAUGAAAGUUUUGACAAAAGUGGACUUGGACUUGGCAUAUUCUGCUGAGAAGUUGGCAAAUCUACAGGAGCUUAUGAUGCGCCUAUUCUCUCAAGAAAAUGAUCUUGAAGCAAUGGCCACCGCAAAUAACUAUAUCAUGAGAAACUAUUGUGAUUCAGAUUUUUCUAGAUUUUGUUUUAAAAAGUUUGUCAUUUCACUAUCUAUAAGGCCAAUGUUGUGGUAUAUGGUUUUGAUUGAAAAUCUAGCAGUCUUUUUCCUA
Molecule: long non-coding RNA, 786 nt
Organism: Rosa chinensis
Lineage: Eukaryota; Viridiplantae; Streptophyta; Magnoliopsida; Rosales; Rosaceae
Exons: 3
Source: RefSeq, a predicted model, not a curated record